CAGCACUCAGACAGUUAGUUUCGUGAGAAUUUCAAUUAGGCCAUGUAGAGCGAUCGCUCAGUCAUUGGAACACUCCUGUUUUUGUUAUCCGGAAAUCGUAUGGAUCAUUUCGGUUACUACAUGACCUUCGUGUGGUUAACGCCCAGUUCGUUCCUUUUGGGCUGGUCCAGCAGGGCGGCCUCUUGCUUUCGGCCAUACCAGAGGGGUGGCCAUUAAUGGUCAUCGACCUCAAGGAUUGUUUCUUUUCUAUCCCUCUGGCAGUGCAGGAUCGGGAGGCCUUCACGUUUAC
Regulatory RNA element from Callipepla squamata (scaled quail), 289 nucleotides. It matches the Rfam family "Retroviral 3'UTR stability element". The record is from Rfam. NCBI's taxonomy places the organism in Eukaryota, Metazoa, Chordata, Aves, Galliformes, Odontophoridae.